CACUAGGAAACGCAGGCUAAGUUCGCGCCGUCCUGGCCGUAGAGUCAAAGCGCAACUUCACCUACACUAGUACUUCCUUGUACGUCGCAACGCCUGCAUGACCACAUCCUGUAGG
RNAcentral lists this small RNA (115 nucleotides) under Lederbergia galactosidilytica. Its description in RNAcentral is "Bacillus galactosidilyticus Bacillaceae-1 RNA". It matches the Rfam family "Bacillaceae-1 RNA". Lineage: Bacteria; Bacillati; Bacillota; Bacilli; Caryophanales; Bacillaceae. The record is from Rfam by way of RNAcentral.